GAUCAUGGCUCAGAUUGAACGCUGGCGGCAUGCCUUACACAUGCAAGUCGAACGGCAGCAUGGAGAGCUUGCUCUCUGAUGGCGAGUGGCGAACGGGUGAGUAAUACAUCGGAACGUGUCCGUUUGUGGUCGGACAACCGUCCGAAAGGAUGGCUAAUACCGCAUGAGACCUGAGGUGAAAGCCGGGGACCGCAAGGCCCGGCGCAGACGGAGCGGCCGAUGAUUG
RNAcentral lists this ribosomal RNA (226 nucleotides) under uncultured bacterium. RNAcentral describes it as "partial 16S ribosomal RNA". It matches the Rfam family "Bacterial small subunit ribosomal RNA", at positions 15 to 239 of the family's 1533-position model. The record is from RNAcentral.